GUAAUAUCCAUGCCCCAGAUGAAAGUCUAUUUUCAGAAUCUAAGCAAGACAAGACAAGUGAAAAUGAGAGCUAUAAAGUGAGUUCCUAGCAGGAUCGAGUACUUAAGGCAUCUACGGCUACAGCUCUUCUUUCAACCCUCUGAGUUUGCCCCUAAGCAAGAAUCAGAUAGUUACCGCCUCACUUCAGGAUUUGUAAAGAACAUUUACAGGACGGUGAUACACAGAAAAGUAAUAUCUCAUUUGCUAUGGUAUUACAGUGCGGCAAAGACAUAUUGUGCAACUGUGACACCACUUCAAGAAAUAUUUAUAUAGUCGGUCAUGGUGGUGCACACCAGUAAUCCCAGCACUUGGAAGGCUGAGGUAAGUUGGCUGAGAGUUUGAGGCCAGCCUGGGCUAUAUAGCAAGUUCAAGGCUAGCCUGAAUUACAUAGCAAGACCUUGUCUCAAAAACACCAAAAGACAAAACUCCAAGAAAUACUUUUAUAAUAAUAUAAACAUAAAAUAAGUUUAGCUUUUUCAAAUUAAUAAUAUUUAUUGGUAUAUUUUACAGUACUUAGUAAGAAAAUUGUUUCUUAAAGAAAGCUAUACCACAAAUAUUUUUUAAAGUAAAUAUGACAAAUAUCUUCAUCACUUGGGUAAAGAAAAGAUUUCUUAAAUAAGAUGCAAAAAGUCACUAAUUAAGACCAAGUGGGUACAUCACAGUAUAUUAAAAUUAAGAAUUUCUUUUCAACAGAAAACAUCUUUCAGAACAUGAGCAUGUUGAUGGACCCUUGUAAUCCCAGCGCUCUGGAGGUCUAAAGCAAAAGGAAUGCAAGUUCGAGCCCAGUCUGGGUCAUGUAAAAUGUUCAUGAAACCCUGACCUAAAUAAAGUACACAAUAGUGUGGGGAGGUCUUGGGCCCUGUGACCAAUCCCCAAGGCCAAUUUUUUUAAAAAAUUAAUCACUAAAAAAGCAAAAAGGUAAAGAAUAGAAAAUAUUUGUGAUAUACAUGAUAGGCUCUAAUUCAGACAUAAAAUAUCCCUUAUAAAUAACUGUUUUUAAAAAAUGAGCAGAUUUGGCCAGUUCCUCACAGAAAAGGAAUAUGCAAAUGACCAUUACAUUUAUGAAAAUAUGCAUGUCAUUAGUCAUCAGAGAAAUUGUGCAUAUUAAUAAAACACACAAUAAAAUAGCAAUACAUACCCACCAGAAUGGCUAAAAUGGAAAAGGUUGAAAAAGUGUUGGUGAAGUGGGUAAGGAAGUAAUCAAGCAUGCACUACCCCCGGGAGUGCGAAAUGACGCCAUCACUUUAUAAAUAGCUUGGCAUUAUCAACUAAAGCUGAACACAGGCAUGCUCUAAGACCCAGUAAUUCAUAUGUUGCAUUCAUACCAUUGCACAUUAAAAGAUUUGUGUAGCAGCAUUCAUAACAACGUCACUGACAGUGGCCCAAACCUGGAAAUGAGUGCUCGUUAACUGGAAAAAGGGUAAAGAUAUUGUGGUGCAUUCAAAUAGAAAUGCAUUAUAUACCAAAGCAAAUGGACAGAUUAUUGCUAAAUUGCCAAAAUAUGGAUGAAUUUCACAAAUGUAAUGCUGAAGAUGUGUGUAUAUUUCUUUAAAGCAGGUAUGAAAACUGUCCCACUGUGAGGUUCAAUUUAUGUAAAGUACCAUACCAGGCAACACUACCAGUGGUGCUAUAAAUCCGGUCAUGGCUAUUUUUUCAGAUGACAGUCACUAGGAACAGAAGAGGGAGCCUCUGUGAGCUGAUCUAUUCCAUUUCUUAAUCUGAAGACAGAUUACACAGGUGUGCUCACUUUCCGAAGUUUCAACACAGUUUAAACUUACCAUUUGUACACAUGGAAGUACGAUGGUUUUACUUCAAUAAAUGAUCUUGAAAAUAAAA
Chinchilla lanigera (long-tailed chinchilla) is the source of this 1875-nucleotide long non-coding RNA. Lineage: Eukaryota; Metazoa; Chordata; Mammalia; Rodentia; Chinchillidae. The record is from Ensembl.